GGGAGAUGAAAAAACUAAAUCCCUAAAUUAAUCUCAAAAAUCCCCUUCUCUCUCCUCUUUCUUCUUCCCAGUCGAUCCCCUCUUUCUUUUCCUCUCUCGCAUUUCAGUCGGCCAGACCAGAUGAGCCAUCUCCGGCCACCACCCAAUGACACGCACCCCACCACGAGCUUCCUUGGCCCCCGAAACCCCCAACCCGUGAAGCUUGCCUCCCCACUCGCCGGCCUCCGUCGCGAUUGGCUCCCCGAAGUUCCGUCGCCGCUGUGAGUUUGGAGGAUUGUUCUGGCCUCCACCGUGGACGAUGAAGGCUCCUGCUGGCGACGACGAUGGGGAAGGCGACGGCGAAGGCUCCUGAGCUGGUGAAGUUCUCAGGCGUGGGUGGUGCUGCCAUUCUCUUCAAGUUGUCCAGACCACUUGUAUUCAACUCUUUGGAUGUGUUUAUUGACAACCAUCCAAUCUGCAAUAUAUACAUUUGUGACAGAGCCUGAUCUACAAGUAUGGAAUCUUCAUUCCUAUUUAGAACUUGGAAGUUGUUUGUAUGCAGGAAUUGGUACUGCUGUAUCUUUUUUUGUUCAAGCAUGGUGCAUACAACUAAGAGGUCCUGUCUUUGUUGCAAUGUUCAGCCCUCUAUGCACUGUUAUAACAGCCAUUAUAGCCUCUUUGUUUCUACAUGAGAAGUUAUAUGCUGGAAGGAGUGCUUAAAUGGAGAGUUUCUUCAAGUUGGUCUCAAGUUUGUUCCACUAGCUGGAUAUCACUGGUUUGAUGGAGAUGGGUAUAUAUAUUGACUUCAUUAUUCUAAAAACUUAUUUAAUGAGUAUAUAUAUUGACGUCUUCAACAAGAAGAAUACUUUGGAGCUCCCAAAUUCAUGAAGGUAAUAAUAACAAGAAUUACUUAAGAAUUUGAUUAAUUUUCAAUCAUCAUUUAGGCUCAAGUUGUCAGGUGAUUGAAUAUUCAUGAAAUCAAAGUUUUCUUCAAAAUUAUUGGCUCUCCCUUGUAAUAAUAAUGCUUAUGAAAGAUUAAUUAAAGUGUCCAAAGUAAUUCUGAGUUGUAAGAUUACAAAAUCUGGUUUAAUUAAUUGAGCUUAGAUUUCAAAUUAAUGUUUAUUAGUUUCAAACUUCAUUUGAUUUUAAUGCAAACUUUCAAAUUGGAGAACUGAAAGGGCAUUUUGGAUUACUCGCGGUGAUCAUGCAAAUUCUGAGAGCAAAGCUCAAAGUAUUAGAUCUUUCAUAUGGAAAUGGAACCGGUAUAAUUAAGCACAACUCAACUACACAUCUGGUAAAGGCAAGAGCAAGCUGGACCAAGCCUGAGGUGGAGAGCUCCGAGGUGGAAUGUACAUAGCCAGCGGUUCAACCGCCAUGGUCGAGGAGUGGACUAGGACAGGGAUCACUUAACUACUAGUUUUGCCUUAGCAUGGCCAGUUGUUGUAUAUAAACCCUGAGUCUUUUGUAAACGGUCUUUGAACUUAAUAUUUUUGGGAUCCCAUGUAACAGAUAAUACUUUUUAAUGAAAAUGUGCCUUUUGAGACCAAAACGCUUUUAACCCUAGUUCCUUUAUAGUUUCAAUGACACGAUUUUAUUUAAAUGACUUGAUUAGCAAGUCUGGCACUUUAUAAACACACAGUGUAAUGGUCUUGGCUAUCCAGGGCGUUACAUACUUUCCCACUAGCUUACCUCCUAGGAUCGUCUUGUGCUGGGUAACCCUGGCAUAACCAAAUAAUAACAAAGCACCACGCCCAUUUCACAUAUAUGCCAAAAAUGCCCGAAAUGGCCAAAAUAUGAAAAUCACCCAAUUCAUCACAAAUGGGUUCACAUGCAUAUUUAAUACACCUAAACAUGCAUAUUAUCAUUAAAUAAUACAAUAAAGCAACUAUAGCCCUCCCGGCCUCCUAAUCAAGGUCCUAAACCUUAUUAAGAAAUUCGGGGCAUUACAGUUGGUUUGUGAAUUCCUGGAUGUGUUUCCAGAAGAUUUACCAGGGUUGUCGUCGCGCAGGGGGAUCGACUUUGUUAUUGAGCUGGCACCAGGGACAGAGCCAGUGUCUAGGGCACCUUACAGAAUGGCCCCAGCAGAGUUGAGGGAACUCAAGGUACAGUUACAGGAGUUGUUGGAUCUGGGUUUUAUUAGACCCAGUUUCUCGCCAUGGGGUACGCCACUGUUAUUUGUGAAGAAAAAGGACGGUUCUCUAAGGAUGUGCAUAGAUUAUAGAGAAUUGAAUAAGUUGACCAUCAAGAACAAGUAUCCUCUGCCAAGGAUAGACGACUUAUUUGAUCAACUGUAAGGUAAAACAGUAUUUUCAAAGAUAGAUCUUCGAUCCGGUUAUCACCAGUUGAGAAUUAAGGAUGAAGACAUACCCGAGACAGCCUUCUGUACCAGAUAUGGGCACUAUGAGUUCCUCGUUAUGUCAUUUGGUUUGACUAACGCCCCGGUAGCUUUCAUGGACAUGAUGAACUGGGUGUUCAAGGACUAUCUGGACCAAUUCGUGAUUGUUUUUAUCGACGAUAUCUUGGUUUAUUCACAGUCAGAGGAGGAGCAUGAGCAACACCUCAGGUUGGUCUUGCAGAGACUAAGAGAGCAUAAGUUAUUGCGAAGUUUAAGAAGUGUGAAUUCUGGUUACCUCAGGUGACAUUCUUAGGUCAUAUCGUUAGUAGGGAUGGGGUCAAGGUAGACCCAGCUAAGAUUGAAGCUGUUAAGAACUGGCCGAGGCCAAGGAAUGCCUCCGAGAUUAGAAGCUUCCUUGGAUUGGCAGGCUAUUAUAGGAAAUUUGUAGAAGGGUUCUCAAGAAUAUCGUCCCCACUGACGGAGUUGACACGUAAGAAUCAAAAUUUUGCAUGGUCAGAUAGAUGUGAGAACAACUUCCAGGAGUUAAAGCAGCGUUUGAUUACUGCCCCAGUCUUGAAUCUUCCGACUGGUCAAGAGAAGUUUAUGGUUUACUGUGAUGCUUCGAGACAGGGGUUAGGUUGUGUCCUUAUGCAGGCAGAAAAGGUGAUUGCCUAUGCAUCACGUCAGUUGAAGGAUUAUGAGCAGAGAUAUCCAACCCAUGAUUUGGAGUUGGCAGCUGUGGUCUUUGCAUUGAAGGUAUGGAGGCAUUACCUUUAUGGAGAGAAGUGUGAGAUAUACACAAACCAUAAGAGUCUCAAGUACUUCUUUACACAGAAGGAUUUGAAUAUGAGACAGAAGCGUUGGUUGGAACUGGUGAAAGACUAUGACUGUGAUAUUCUUUAUCAUCCAGGGAAAGCCAAUGUGGUGGCUGAUGCCCUAAGUUGGAGAGGUCCAGGGCAGUUGUAUAAUGUGAGGCAGAUAUCCAAGGAGUUAGUAGAGGAUAUGACCAGGGCAUGGAUUGAAUUAGUAGUGGGCCAGUUAGCUAACAUUACCCUGCAGUCUACUCUCCUAGAAAUGAUAUAGGAGAGUCAGUUACGAAAGCCACAGUUGGUGAAGAUUACAGAGGAUGUCCUAGCUGGAGCAGCUAGGGACUAUUCUAUAUCAGAUAUGGGCCUGCUAUGAUAUAAGGAUCGGAUUUGUGUUCCGAUGGAUGCUGUUAUUAGGCGAGAGAUUCUGGAUGAAUCUCAUACCACUUUGUAUUCCUUGCAUCCUGGCACGACGAAGAUAUAUCAGGACUUAAGAACUUUGUAUUGGUGGCCGGGGAUGAAGGGUGAUGUAACUGAGUAUGUAGCCAAGUGUCUGACGUGUCAGCAGAUCAAAGUUGAGCAUCAGAGACCUGCAGGAUUAUUACAGCCCUUAGACAUCCCAGAGUGGAAAUGGGAAAACAUCGCAAUGGAUUUUGUGGUGGGAUUGCCUAAGACGGUGGGUCAACAUGAUUCAAUAUGGGUGAUUGUAGACAUAUAUACUAAAUCAGCUCACUUUCUACCAGUGAGGACGACUUAUACCGUUGACCAGUAUGUAGACCUCUAUGUAAAAGAGAUAGUACGUCUUCAUGGAGCUCCGAGGUCGAUUGUGUCAGAUCGAGACCCCACAUUUACUUCCAAGUUCUGGGAAAGUUUGCAGAAAGCAAUGGGCACGCAAUUGAAGUUUAGUACAUCGUAUCACCCUCAAACCGAUGGUCAGUCUGAGAGGACUAUCCAGAUACUGGAGGACAUGCUGAGAGCAUGUGUACUGGACUUUGAGGGAUCUUGGAGUAAAUAUUUACCCCUGAUAGAGUUUUCCUACAACAACAUCUAUUAGGUGACCAUAGGAGUGACUCCUUAUGAGAUGUUGUAUGGUAGGAAGUGCAGAUCACCUAUUCACUGGGAUAAGUUGGGUGAGCAUAAAUACUUGGGUCCUGAGGUGGUUCAGAGGACCAAUGAAGUUAUUAAAAAGAUCAGAGCUCGGAUGCUCGCAUCACAGAGUAGACAGAGAAGUUAUGCGAAUCUGAAGCGUAGAAACGUGGAGUUCCAGGUGGGAGACUAUGUCUUCCUUAGAGUCUCGCCACUCAAGGGGGUGAGAAGAUUUGGCAAGAAGGGCAAGCUGAGCCCUAGGUUCGUAGGACCAUUUGAGAUUCUGGAAAGGAUCGGUCAGGUGGCCUAUAGGUUGGCAUUACCUCCGGCGUUGUCGGCUGUGCACAACGUGUUUCAUAUUUUGAUGCUACGGAAGUAUGUUUCAGAUGAGACUCACGUGCUGAGUUAUGAAGAUCUAUAGCUGUAGGCAGAUUUGUCCUUUGAGGAGCAGCCAAUCCAGAUACUAGACAAGAAGGACAACGUCCUCAGGAAUAAAGUUAUACCUUUGGUGAAGGUAUUAUGGAGGAAUAGCAAGGUCGAGGAGGCGACCUGGGAGUUGGAAUCAACCAUCCGGGACCAGUACCCCGAGCUGUUCAGGUAAAAUUUUGAGGACGAAAUUCUUAUAAGGAGGGGAUAGUUGUAACAUCUAAAAUUUCCUAAUGUGGCUUAGUGCCCGGAUUAGGGGACCGGGAGGCAAUAAUUGAAUUGUUAUGUGAAUUAUAUUAUAAUAUAAUUAUGCUUGCAUGUUAGAAAUAUUAAAUAUGUGUUUGUGUGAUUGAGACCACAUUAUUAUGUGGAUAUAUUUGGGUUACUCGACGUGAGGCGAUCCCAAUGAGUAAGUUAGCGGAAAAGUCACAACGAGGUUUUAUACCCGGCUCGGGGUGAGCUUGGGGGUAUUUUAGUAAUUUAGUACAUUACUGGGAAUUAGUGGGUAAUGGGAAAUUAAUGGAAAUCGUGUGAGAGUAUUGGAAAUAGCAGUAGUCAAAGGACGUAAAUUGUGGAUAGCGGGGUUUGAGACAAAGGACAAAAUUGCCCUUGAGAGCAUUUGAUGAAUAGGUUAAGGGCAAGGGGCAAUUAGGUCAUUUCCAUUCAAUUUAGGAUGUGGUUGGCUGGGAACCCCUUAGAAGACUUAGGAAACUAAAUGAAAAAAAAGAGUCUCAGUAGCUCUCUCUCUCUCUCUUACGUUCAAUAUUUCAUCUCUUGGAGCUUUAGGUGGUUUGGGUCAAUUUGAAGGAGAUUGGUUUGAAAGGAAGGCUUGAAACCAGGGAAUUGUUGGGAGCAAUUAGCACUUGAGUCAUACAGCUGAGGUAAGGGUUCUGAACUGAAGUUUUUAUGCUAGUUCAGUUGAAUUAUUUAGAGCUAUGGUGUUUUGCAUGUUUGAUAGUUGGGAGAUUGGGUUUUGAUAUUUUUGAUGAGUUUUAAUAUGGUAAUUAGUUAGGUCUUGCUGCUGGGAAGGGUUGUGUUGAUUGUGGGAAUUGAGUUGGAAGAUUGGGAUAGAAUUUAGUGGUUUUUAGUUGGGUUCAGCUGAAGGAAAAACCCAUAAAAUCUGGGUUCGAAGGGCUGGGCCGCGGCCUUGUUCUUGGUAUGCCGUAGCCUUAUGAUGCAAGAGGGAGCCAGGAGGGCUCGGAGCAGAGGCGGGUCGCGACGCGUGUUGUUUUUCCAGGGAGGCCGAGCCUCUGACUUAGAGGUGGACCGCGGCAUGGGUUUCUAGGGCCGCGGCCCUUAAGGGGAUUUUCGGCCUUAAUGAGGUUUUUAGAUCGGGAACUUAACCAUGUGGGCUCGGGGUCGGUUCUACUUCCCUGUUGAGUGGAAUUUGACGUCCCGGAGGCUAGUAUUUGGUCUGGAAACUCUUAUUCUCCAAUUGUUGAUGGAAUUCUUAAUUAUGGUUGUGACUAGGGCUUUGCUAAAGGCUCGAAUCGGGGAUCGUACUCAAAGGGCGUCACUAGUAACUUGCAUUCGGAUCAAAGGUAAGAAAACUGCACCCAUUACGUGGAUGUGUGAUUAGAGUUUAGUCAACGGUGAACAUAGACAUGAUUAAGGCUUGAGCAUUGUUGAUGAAUAUGAUUACAACUAUGCUUGUGGAGAUCUGGUUAGGUACACUGGAAUGCGCAUAAUUAUGAUUAUUCCUAUGACUAAUGUUUGGAUGUAUUAUGAUGCAUGGUAAUCGUUGAUAUGUAUGUGUUUAUGAGUUAUGUGAUUGUCUGUCGUGACUGGGAAGCUUGGUUUAUAAACCAGAGGGUUAUUAGGAUGUUAAAUGGGGAUCGACUUAUUAGUCAAGGGUAUACUGGACUUCCCAAGGCUCGUCUUAUAAGUCGAGGGUCCUAAAGCUUCGACUUAUAAGUCGGGGGCAUGUGAGGCUUGACUUAUAAGUCAAGGACUUAAAGGACUCAGUUUAUAAGCUGAGACUGGCAUUGUGCACGUGGAGUGCAGGCCACCAUGGCUGGGCCACCCUGGGAGUGCAACAUGCACUUGACUGGCUCGGAUGCCAACAAACUGAAAGGAAGUGCGACACGCACUUUCGUGACCCCAUGGUUGCCAAUUUGUAUAAUGAAUAUGCCAGUUUCAGUUAUUACUGUUUGAUAGUUAUAUUUCACUGUGAACUGUUCAAUAUGUUUUCUUG
RNA transcript from Humulus lupulus (European hop), 6826 nucleotides. It is a transcript of the gene named WAT1-related protein At4g30420-like, with no coding region annotated. The transcript has 6 exons. Lineage: Eukaryota; Viridiplantae; Streptophyta; Magnoliopsida; Rosales; Cannabaceae. The record is from RefSeq and is a predicted model, not a curated record.